Molecule: ribosomal RNA, 253 nt
Filed under: uncultured bacterium
Lineage: Bacteria
Description: partial 16S ribosomal RNA
Rfam family: Bacterial small subunit ribosomal RNA
Source: RNAcentral
UACGUAGGGGGCAAGCGUUGUCCGGAUUUAUUGGGCGUAAAGAGCGUGUAGGCGGCCAGGUAGGUCAGCUGUGAAAACUCGAGGCUCAACCUCGAGAUGUCGGCUGAAACCAUCUGGCUAGAGUCCGGAAGAGGAGAAUGGAAUUCCCGGUGUAGCGGUGAAAUGCGCAGAUAUCAGGAGGAACACCGGUGGCGAAGGCGGGUCUCUGGGCCGAAAUUGACGCUGAGGAGCGAAAGCGUGGGGAGCAAACAGG